GACGAACGCUGGCGGCGUGCUUAACACAUGCAAGUCGAACGGAAUGGCCCUGCUUUUGUGGGGUGCUCGAGUGGCGAACGGGUGAGUAACACGUGAGUCACCUGCCCUUGACUUUGGGAUAACUUCAGGAAACUGGGGCUAAUACCGGAUAGGAGCUCCUGCUGCAUGGUGGGGGUUGGAAAGUUUCGGCGGUUGGGGAUGGACUCGCGGCUUAUCAGCUUGUUGGUGGGGUAGUGGCUUACCAAGGCUUUGUCGGGUAGCCGGCCUGAGAGGGUGACCGGCCACAGUGGGACUGAGAUACGGCACGGACUCCUACGGGAGGCAGCAGUGGGGAAUAUUGCACAAUGGGCGGAAGCCUGAUGCAGCAACGCCGCGCGCGGGAUGACGGCCUUCGGGUUGUAAACCGCGUUCGCCUGUGACGAAGCGAGGGUGACGGUACUGGGUAAAGAAGCACCGGCUAACUACGUG
Molecule: ribosomal RNA, 468 nt
Filed under: uncultured bacterium
Lineage: Bacteria
Description: partial 16S ribosomal RNA
Rfam family: Bacterial small subunit ribosomal RNA
Source: RNAcentral